Molecule: unclassified non-coding RNA, 1744 nt
Filed under: uncultured fungus
Lineage: Eukaryota; Fungi
Description: sequence contains 18S rRNA gene, ITS1, 5.8S rRNA gene, ITS2, 28S rRNA gene
Rfam family: Eukaryotic large subunit ribosomal RNA (bases 625-1744)
Source: RNAcentral
GGAAGGAUCAUUAACACACUCCAAACUAUUUUUUAGUCCUUUUAUUGAUCAGUGGUCUUAUUCGAAUUGCAGCCCUGGUGGCGAAUUCUUUGUAAAAUAUAGUGACCGUAGACGAUGGAUGACUUGGCUUGUACACCGAUGAAGAGCGCAGCUAGCUGCGAUAAGUAGUGUGAAUUGCAGAAUUCUGUGAAACACUAAAUUCUUGAACGCAUCCGGCGCCUGUGAGCAAUCACAGGUACACCUGGUUGAGUGCGGCUUCUUUCUUUCUUUGAACUACCAAGUUUACUUGGUAGGCUCAAAGGUGUUGGGGAGUUCGGUUUAAACCAGGCAACUGGCAACAACCGUUCCCUUAAAUAUUGAGUACCUGAGAGAUAAUUUCAAGUAUAGAGUUCUCCUCCCACUCGUGGGCGUUGUAUCUGUCAGUAUAAACGGUAGUGGGUUUUACUGUCAACAACUUUUGGAGCGAUUCUAGAUUUGUUAUGACCUCUUGUUGGUGGUUUGACGAUUUCUCUUUGUCUACGGUUUUUCGUACUGGAGGAGAAAUACAGCGAACCAUUGAUUUUCAGUAAUGAACAGGAACGUUUCACCAACUACUUGUAGUUGGAACCACUCAUUAACAAACUGCUGCCUCAACUCAGGUGGGACAACCCCCUGAACUUAAGCAUAUCAAUAAGGGGAGGAAAAGAAACUAACUAGGAUUCCCUUAGUAACUGCGAGUGAAACGGGAAAAGCUCAUACCCUAAUCUGGCGUGGUUUACUGCGUCCGAAUUGUAGUGUUUGGAUUGGUACACGGUGGGGCCCAUAGGAGAAAGUGUGCUGGAACGCACUGCCACAGAGGGUGACAGCCCCGUACUUCUAUUGGUGUCUUGCUUACUGUGCUUUUCCUAGAGUCGGUAUGUUUGGGAGUACAUACCUAAGUGGGAGGUAAAUUCCUUCUAAAGCUAAAUACGGGUACAAGACCGAUAGCGAACAAGUAGCGUGAGCGAAAGUUGCAAAGAACUCUGGAGAGAGAGUUAAAGAGUCCCUGAAAUCGUCUACGGGUAAGCGUUUGGCUCGACUCUUGUUGCUGGUGGCUCACUUGUUGGUGAGGCACCCUUGUGCUGGAGCGGAAUCAGCCUUUGUGUUGGUCCCUCCGGUGCGGGGUGUUUUACUGGCAGGGCACUCCACCAGUGACAGCCAUCGUCGGUGUCGACUUCGGCAAAAAGGUGGUAGUUUGGUGCCAUGCUGCGUUUCGGCGUAGUGUGGAUUUAAGCUGCUGCUGUAGCUGUCGUCGGUACUGUCGCAUUAGCCAGUGCAGUGCGGUAUGGGUUUGUUCCGGGUGUUGUUGGUCAGGAGGACAGCUUGCUGUGCUUUUGGCUAGUGAUGCUCAACGGGCAGGCUCAACAACUAUUGGCUAUUACGAUGACUUGAGUUGGGCUAAAUGUCCCGUCUUGAAACACGGACCAAGGAGUCUAACAUGUGUGCGAGCCUAAGAGUGAAAAACUUGCAGGCGCAAUGAAAGUGAUUGGAUGGGAUAGGUAACACUACGGUGUUGCCUUGCACCAUCGGCCCAUUGUCUUCCUCGGAGGAUGGUGGAGUCUGAGUACACCUGUUAGGACCCGAAAGGUUGCGAACUAUGCCUGCAUAGGACGAAGCCAGGUGAAAACCUGGUGGAGGUCCGAAGCGAUACUGACGUGCAAAUCGUUCGUCAAAUGUGGGUAUAGCGGCGAAAGACUAAUCGAGCAGCCUAGUAGCUGGUUCCCUC